AUUGCCCUAGUAACGGCGAGUGAAGCGGCAACAGCUCAAAUUUGAAAUCUGGCCUCGGCCCGAGUUGUAAUUUGCAGAGGAUGUUUCUGGCGCGGUGCCUUCCGAGUUCCCUGGAACGGGACGCCAAAGAGGGUGAGAGCCCCGUAUGGUUGGACACCAAGCCUGUGUGAAACUCCUUCGACGAGUCGAGUAGUUUGGGAAUGCUGCUCUAAAUGGGAGGUAAAUCUCUUCUAAAGCUAAAUACCGGCCAGAGACCGAUAGCGCACAAGUAGAGUGAUCGAAAGAUGAAAAGCACCUUGAAAAGGGGGUUAAAUAGUACGUGAAAUUGUUGAAAGGGAAGCACUUAUGACCAGACUUGGGCCGGGCGGCUCAUCAGGGGUUCUCCCCUGUGCACUCCGCCCGGCACAGGCCAGCAUCGGUUUUCGCGGGGGGAUAAGACCGUCAGGAACGUAGCACCCUCCGGGGUGUGUUAUAGCCUGGCGGACGAUACCCUCGCGGGGACCGAGGUUCGCGCUCCGCAAGGAUGCUGGCGUAAUGGUCAUCAGUGACCCGUCUUGAAACACGGACCAAGGAGUCGUCCAUUAGAGCGAGCGUUUGGGUGUAAAACCCGCACGCGUAAUGAAAGUGAACGCAGGUGAGAGCUUCGGCGCAUCAUCGACCGAUCCUGAUGUUCUCGGAAGGAUUUGAGUAAGAGUUUUAACGGACGGACCCGAAAGACAGUGAACUAUGCUUGUAUAGGGUGAAGCCAGAGGAAACUCUGGUGGAGGCUCGCAGCGGUUCUGACGUGCAAAUCGAUCGUCAAAUAUGAGCAUG
Molecule: ribosomal RNA, 813 nt
Filed under: Diaporthe ambigua
Lineage: Eukaryota; Fungi; Ascomycota; Sordariomycetes; Diaporthales; Diaporthaceae
Description: partial large subunit ribosomal RNA
Rfam family: Eukaryotic large subunit ribosomal RNA
Source: RNAcentral